AACACGGAUCUUGAAGAAAAAAAAGCUGAAGAUCAAUGUUCAUAGGCCUGUGGGGACAAGGGCUGUCUUUGAUGAGGAAGGCAACACACAAGCUCCACUUGCUAUGUUGGCUAACAAGACGAGCGGCGAUAUACUGCUUCACCAAGAUAUUGAAGGUGUAGUGGAGGAUUCAAUCUCUUCAAGCUGGAAAAGCCAAGGCUUAGCACUUCUUCAAGUAGAGUGUUAUUUAAUGUUGCAUUCCAUGGUCGUUUAUCUUAGUCGGAACUUGAAUUAGGUGUUAUUGAAACAGGGUUUUGUAGCUACCUUAUAUACUAGCUUCUUUAACCAUGAUUGUUAAUUAUUACAUGUUUUGUAGCUUCUUUUA
This is a long non-coding RNA of Gossypium raimondii (Peruvian cotton), 364 nucleotides long. RefSeq lists it as uncharacterized. The record is from RefSeq and is a predicted model, not a curated record. NCBI's taxonomy places the organism in Eukaryota, Viridiplantae, Streptophyta, Magnoliopsida, Malvales, Malvaceae. The transcript is spliced from 2 exons.